This 323-nucleotide long non-coding RNA is filed under the name Gossypium barbadense (sea-island cotton). Its description in RNAcentral is "long non-coding RNA (GBAR_LNC022373)". Lineage: Eukaryota; Viridiplantae; Streptophyta; Magnoliopsida; Malvales; Malvaceae. The record is from RNAcentral.
GAAAACUAUCUUGGUGUUCAAUUGGGCAGAAUCACAAUCUCCUUGAGGGUUUCAAGAACCCUAACACUUAUUUCUAUUCUCAAUUUGAUUCUUUGCUGAUUUGGGAAUUUUAUUUCAGAUCUGAAAAUUCAAAAAUCUAAUCUUUUAAUUUUCUGUUUCGUUUCAGAUCUAAUUGUUUAGGGUUUUCGUAGGAGUUUCUCGUGACUUGGCAACUCGAUCUUGGUCCGCGCGCAUUCCUCUAUCAUUAUGUCUGCCGGUUAAUUUGUCCUCCAAUGCUUAAAUGCUGAAUUAGUUGCAUAUAAUAUAAUGGCAUACUGUACAAA